This 357-nucleotide ribosomal RNA is filed under the name Triticum aestivum (bread wheat). RNAcentral describes it as "partial small subunit ribosomal RNA". The record is from RNAcentral. Lineage: Eukaryota; Viridiplantae; Streptophyta; Magnoliopsida; Poales; Poaceae.
AAGCCAAGUUGGGUCUCAUAGGUUGUUAUGACAAGGCCAAUGUCAUGUGGUGGAUUGGGAUUCCGUGACAUAGAGCACUUCAAUCUUUCCCUUCGUGCUCAGCAAGCAUGGUGUAUCCUUACGGACCCAACCGCUUUGAGUGUCAGAAAUCUCAAGUUUAAGUACCAUCCCUCAUGUGAUUUUCUCGAUGCCGAAAAUGGGAGCUCUCCAUCUCAGGUAUGGAGAUCGAUCACGGAUGGGCGUGAUACAAUGAUCCAUGUACUAAUAAGAAGAGUUGGUGUUGGUACGACCACUCAUAUAUGGCGGCAGAAUAGGAUUCCAAGGCCUUUAAUACGAUUCCUAUUGUUAGUUUGGUAA